This is a small nuclear RNA of Pogoniulus pusillus (Red-fronted tinkerbird), 110 nucleotides long. The record is from RefSeq and is a predicted model, not a curated record. NCBI's taxonomy places the organism in Eukaryota, Metazoa, Chordata, Aves, Piciformes, Lybiidae.
GUGCUCCCUUUAGCAGCAGCACAUAUACUCAAAUUGGAACGAUAUGGAGAAGAUUAGCAUGGCCCCUGCGCAAGGAUGAUGCACAAGUUCAUGAAGCAUUCCAUAUUUUC